UACGUAGGGUGCGAGCGUUGUCCGGAAUUACUGGGCGUAAAGAGCUCGUAGGUGGUUUGUCGCGUUGUUCGUGAAAACUCACAGCUUAACUGUGAGCGUGCUUCCGAUACGGGCAGACUUGAGGUAUUCAGGGGAGAACGGAAUUCCUGGUGUAGCGGUGAAAUGCGCAGAUAUCAGGAGGAACACCGGUGGCGAAGGCGGGUCUCUGGGCCGAUACUGACGCUGAGGAGCGAAAGCGUGGGGAGCGAACAGG
This 253-nucleotide ribosomal RNA is filed under the name uncultured bacterium. RNAcentral's name for it is "partial 16S ribosomal RNA". It matches the Rfam family "Bacterial small subunit ribosomal RNA", at positions 524 to 776 of the family's 1533-position model. The record is from RNAcentral.